This is a long non-coding RNA of Gracilinanus agilis (Agile Gracile Mouse Opossum), 1530 nucleotides long. RefSeq lists it as uncharacterized. The record is from RefSeq and is a predicted model, not a curated record. NCBI's taxonomy places the organism in Eukaryota, Metazoa, Chordata, Mammalia, Didelphimorphia, Didelphidae. The transcript is spliced from 4 exons.
UUAAAUGAGAUCGAGAGACCCAGACUCAUACAAAAUAAAAUAAAAACAAAGAACAGUCUGAGGCUGGGAAUAAGAAGACCUGGGUUCAAUGUAAGGCUGCCACUGAUUUGUUUUGACCCCUCUCAGCCUUAGUUCCCCCAAUAUUUAAAAUGGGCAUAACAAUCAAUUUGUUGCCCUAACUAUCUUGGAUUUGCUCUUAUUAUCUCCCUGUUCUGGCAGUGCCCUUCCAACUAUACGUUCCUAUUAAAAUCUGUCAAGGCCCAGCUCAAAACUGUUCUCCUACAGGAAGCCUUCCUUGAUCACCCCAGGUGCUAAGGAUCUUUCCCCUUUGGUCUUCAAAUACCACUUGGUCUGUCUACUUCUCCUGUACUUUUUAUGCCCGGCUUUAUAUUAGUUUUUGCGCAGAAGGUCAAGCACACACAACUCACUGCAGAUGGAGUUGGGAUUUGUUCACUUUCCCUCUUCUCCAUAGUCUCUCCAGCCACCUUCCUGCCCAAGAGACAUUUCUGACCUGAGUCUCCACUCUCCUGACUCGUCAUCGCCCUCGCCAGGGCCACUCUUUGGGGGAAAACCCCAAUUUAUGCCUCACUGCACCAGAUUUUCCGGCCAUCUUCUCUGAAUAGCCUCGAUGAUCUCCAGGGGAGGAAUCUUUGCCCUGGAACUCCCUGGAUCUGGAGGCUUAGGGACGGACACCUGUGGCCCCCAGAGGAAAGAGUAUGGACUGUCUGAAAUUCUCUGGCUCACAUCCCUAUACUGUCUUUCUCCAGCACUGGAGGCCAGAAAUUGCCUGUGUCCCUGGAAUAAUUAAAGUCCAGGGAGGUCUGAAUUUUAUCCAGACUCUAGGAAAAUGUCUCAGCAUCCCAUGUUUGCAGGGCCCUGGUUCUGCAAAAGAUGGCAUCUGAGGGCCCAAGGCAGUGGUUUCCUCCUUUCCCCAGGCUCCCCUUUUCCCCCACGAUGCCACCUCCUAUCCACAUUGGGCUUACUCCUCUCUCCUUCUUCCCAGACUUUGCCCUGAUUCCUUCUAUUGAACUGGACCCUUCUCCUUGCUCAUGUCCAAGCCUGCCAGAACCCACCUUCAAGAAGCCCACCCUUUCUCACUCCUCUCUCUUUUCUCUAGGACUUCGACCCCUACAUCAGGCUGCCAAAUUGUUGGUCAAUCCUCUUCCUGUGCUCUUGCCAGUCUUGAAGCUUGCCAAGGACAGGGCUUGAGUAUGCCCACACUUCCAGUCUCCUCCACUUUGUGAACUCUCAAAAUACAGGGUUCAAGUCACCUCCUGUCUGUCUCCACUCCACCAUGGUUAAGCACAGGGCUGGACACACGGUCGAGACCUACACAGUUGAGCUGAACUUGAACUGAGGACCCCAUUCCUCAAUUGCUCCAGUUCCUUGGGUGGGCUAGAAUGAAGAGGAACAUUGUCAGGGGAAAAGUUCUCUCUCACUUGGCAACUAGCUAUAUGGAAAUUUCAUCAUGUGAAUGUCCAGAGGGCUCAAGUUCUUCCUCUGGAUGUGAAUAGUGUUCUUUCUCAUAAG